CAGCAGUGGGGAAUAUUGGACAAUGGGCGAAAGCCUGAUCCAGCCAUGCCGCGUGUGUGAAGAAGGUCUUCGGAUUGUAAAGCACUUUAAGUUGGGAGGAAGGGCAGUAAGCUAAUACCUUGCUGUUUUGACGUUACCGACAGAAUAAGCACCGGCUAACUCUGUGCCAGCAGCCGCGGUAAUACAGAGGGUGCAAGCGUUAAUCGGAAUUACUGGGCGUAAAGCGCGCGUAGGUGGUUCGUUAAGUUGGAUGUGAAAAGCCCCGGGCUCAACCUGGGAACUGCAUCCAAAAACUGGCGAGCUAGAGUACGGUAGAGGGUGGUGGAAUUUCCUGUGUAGCGGUGAAAAUGCGUAGAUAUAGGAAGGAACACCAGUGGCGAAGGCGACCACCUGGACUGAUACUGACACUGAGGUGCGAAGGCGUGGGGAGCAAACAGGAUUAGAUACCCUGGUAG
Molecule: ribosomal RNA, 455 nt
Filed under: uncultured bacterium
Lineage: Bacteria
Description: bacterial SSU rRNA
Rfam family: Bacterial small subunit ribosomal RNA
Source: RNAcentral